RNAcentral lists this long non-coding RNA (236 nucleotides) under Elaeis guineensis (African oil palm). Its description in RNAcentral is "long non-coding RNA (EGUI_LNC032078)". The record is from RNAcentral. Lineage: Eukaryota; Viridiplantae; Streptophyta; Magnoliopsida; Arecales; Arecaceae.
CACUAUUAAGUUUGUAGUCAUAUAAUAAAUAUUAGAAAAACUUACAAUUACAUUUUUUUAACUUUUCGCAAUUUGCAUAUACAUUCUCAAACUUCUAAUUUUUUUCAAUUAGAUCCUAAAAUUUAAGAUUCAGUUGCAAUGUACCCUAACCAUCCUUCUCUAUUAUAAUCCAUAAAUAUGUGAUUAUCAUGUGAUAUAACUUUGGAUGUUAUAUUUCAUAAAUAACCCACCAUUUU